Molecule: microRNA precursor, 123 nt
Organism: Ochotona princeps (American pika)
Lineage: Eukaryota; Metazoa; Chordata; Mammalia; Lagomorpha; Ochotonidae
Source: Ensembl
CUGCCCUGGAAAGCACUGAGGGACAGACAUUGUAAACAUCCUACACUCUCUACAGUGGAAAGUAAGAAAGCUGGGAGAAGGCUGUUUACUCUCUCUGCCUUGGAAAUCAACUAAAGAGGAACA